AUGUACUGUAUGUACACUUCGGUUCCUGUGCUCCGGCCUCCCCGCUCUGACGGGGGCUCGCUACUUUUUGAGAUGU
Molecule: small RNA, 76 nt
Filed under: Chitinibacter bivalviorum
Lineage: Bacteria; Pseudomonadati; Pseudomonadota; Betaproteobacteria; Neisseriales; Chitinibacteraceae
Description: Chitinibacter sp. 2T18 sX9 sRNA
Rfam family: Xanthomonas sRNA sX9
Source: RNAcentral